GAGAUAUAAUUGAAUAAUGGGCACGAUUUCCCCCAUACUGUUUUCCUGGUAGUGAAUAUGUCUCAUGAGAUCUGAUGGUUUUAUAAGGGGUUGUCCUUUUCACUUGGCUCUCAUUUUUUUCUCUUGCCUGCUGCCAUGUGAGAUGUGCCUUUCACCUUCCACCAUGAUUGUGAGGCCUCCCCAGCCAUGUGGAGUCUUGGGUCCUGGGUUCUUGUCCUGCGUCUAAGAAGAAUGAGGUUACACUGACAGCUGAAGGGUGAGCAAGGCGAAGAGUUUUAUUGAGUGACAGUUCUCAGCAGAGAGGGGACUUAAAGA
Molecule: long non-coding RNA, 315 nt
Filed under: Homo sapiens (human)
Lineage: Eukaryota; Metazoa; Chordata; Mammalia; Primates; Hominidae
Description: HSALNT0271865
Source: RNAcentral